CCUACGGGUGGCUGCAGUGGGGAAUAUUGGGCAAUGGGCGCAAGCCUGACCCAGCAACGCCGCGUGAAGGAAGAAGGCUUUCGGGUUGUAAACUUCUUUUGUCAGGGAAGAGUAGAAGACGGUACCUGACGAAUAAGCCACGGCUAACUACGUGCCAGCAGCCGCGGUAAUACGUAGGUGGCAAGCGUUGUCCGGAUUUACUGGGUGUAAAGGGCAUGUAGCCGGGUUGACAAGUCAGAUGUGAAAUCUUGCGGCUUAACCGCAGAACUGCAUUUGAAACUGUUGAUCUUGAGUACUGGAGAGGCAGAUGGAAUUCCUAGUGUAGCGGUGAAAUGCGUAGAUAUUAGGAGGAACACCAGUGGCGAAGGCGGUCUGCUGGACAGCAACUGACGCUGAGGCGCGAAAGCGUGGGGAGCAAACAGGAUUAGAUACCCGUGUAGUC
This 442-nucleotide ribosomal RNA is filed under the name uncultured bacterium. RNAcentral describes it as "partial 16S ribosomal RNA". It matches the Rfam family "Bacterial small subunit ribosomal RNA", at positions 338 to 795 of the family's 1533-position model. The record is from RNAcentral.